This 382-nucleotide long non-coding RNA is filed under the name Capsella grandiflora. RNAcentral's name for it is "long non-coding RNA (CGRA_LNC000742)". Lineage: Eukaryota; Viridiplantae; Streptophyta; Magnoliopsida; Brassicales; Brassicaceae. The record is from RNAcentral.
UCUCACCAAAAUCUCCAACUCUCUCCUCAUUGGAUAAGACAAGUAUCGAGAAGCUUUCAUUUCCAUUGGUCCUCCUCUCUCCUUCUAUAAUCCCAAAACACCAUCUCACAUACUCUCCUCAAGCCUCUCAUCUCAUCUCAUCUCCAAGCCUCUCCGAUCAUCAGAGCAGAACAGAGCCAAGACGAUGGCAGCAACCAUGGCGACAUCAGCCACGUGCAUGUCCCUAAACCCAUCUCCUCCUAAACUCCAAAACCAAACCAAACCCAAACCAUUCAUCUCCCUCCCAAACCCAACAAAACCCAACGUAUCUCUCGCUGUCUCAAGCACUGCCCUAGCUGGAGCCGUCUUCUCAUCCCUCAGCUACUCUGAGCCAGCCUUAGCC